UUCUGGUGUGAGGCAGAUACAACUUACAUCCAUGUGAAAUAAGUAACAGAUGGAAAUACACCAACUCAAACCGUUUUGUUGUUCUGAUGUGUGAACAACAGCUUCACGAAGGGAAAAUUACAUCCUAUUUAAAUUCUGAUAUGGUAAUAAACAAUGCUGGACGGCACCAAUUCUCAUAACGCAACAUGAUACUAUGAUUUUAGAAACUCUGAAUGGCCUGCAGACAUUGGUCGCAACAGGUACAACGCAAAUAUUACAAAGUUUUACUGACCUGGCAUUUCUUACAGAAACAUGCACAAAGAAAAUGUGGUUCGCUGUCACUUAGGAUAUUGUGAAUAUGUUCUCCAAAUCUGAUUUACACAUACGAAACUUUGUAACUUUUGAAUUUAAUCGUGAAUUGCUUUCAAAAAAAUUGGACUUAUAAACUACUUACAUACCAUUCUUCUAAUGCAAUAUGAGCUUGCAUCGCCCACAUCCAAGAUCAUGUCCAAAAAAUACUUGGGGAACUCUCGUCAUGCUAGUUCUAGGUUGUAGCCACAUUUGCACCGGUAGUAGCUAAAAACAUAUUGUACUUCAGAACAAGUGUACAUGGGGUAAACUACAUUUUUCACAGAGUAAAAAAGCAUUUCUAGGUAUGUUGAUUCAGAACGGGCAGCAGUUU
This 661-nucleotide long non-coding RNA is filed under the name Hordeum vulgare. RNAcentral describes it as "long non-coding RNA (HVUL_LNC013521)". The record is from RNAcentral. Lineage: Eukaryota; Viridiplantae; Streptophyta; Magnoliopsida; Poales; Poaceae.